UGCAGUUGAUGUAAAACCGAUUUUCCCUUGUUUUGAAGGAAAUUUCCAAUGUCCAGAAGUUCCUUCUUUCUUAUUGCAACGACACUAUUUCUCUCCAUUCUGCAGUUAAGUGUAAGAGAUUCACUUGAGGGAAGUGGCUGAUAGAGCGAUGGAGAUUUACCAUGGGAAUGAAUAAAGCAGAAUUUCUGAUGAAAGUGUUGAGGGGCAUUUGGCAUCCACCAGUAUCCAUCAGGCAGUGAGCCUCUUGUGCAGGGGUGAUGUUCUAUAAAAUCUCAGCAAAGGAAAACCAAAGAAACUUAGAAAUUAAAGCUGAUUGGAAUCAAGGAGAUGAAAGCCCUUAUCAGGGGUCUUGUUCAAUCAGGAAGUCUAUUGGCCAACGGUGAGCUCAGUGCAGGAAGAUAGAGGAAUCUAUGUCGCAUAAGACCUGGCAAAGGGGAGAUUGUUGGCAGUUUUCUGCAGUUCCAAUGGUUAUCAAAGUUUAGCAUGCACAACCAUCGUUUGGAGAGCUAGUUCAAAGGACAUAAUUCCUGGCCUCCCUCUCUUGAAGAUUAAGAAGUUCUAAGAUUGGGAUAAAUCUAAAGAUGUUAAUGGAGCAUGCAGCAUUCGAUUGAGAAAAAUCAGGAGCCUCAGAUAACACAUAGUGCACGUGGAUGAUUUAUUAUCUGAUAAAAAGUAGAGUGAUCAACAGAGUCAUCUUUUUUCCCCCUUCGUCCUUCCCAUCAAACUUCAUCUUUCUUUAAGGACUUAAUAAGUGAGAUCCCGGGCUGCUGAUUCCCUGCCUAUCCAGGUUUUAGAAUACUUGGCGGACUCCUUCCUCUUUUCCUCUGAGGGGCAACAGCUGGUUUUCAUUACGCAUCAGAUUAUGAUACACACCGAAAAGAAAAUGGUCACAAUGAAUAAAGAGGGAGUUCUGGUAAUACUGUGGUUUGUUCCUGGGGGUGUCAAGGUGAAGAAUCCAUCCUGUUCUUCAGACCACUGUAAA
Canis lupus familiaris (dog) is the source of this 982-nucleotide long non-coding RNA. RefSeq lists it as uncharacterized. The transcript has 6 exons. The record is from RefSeq and is a predicted model, not a curated record. Lineage: Eukaryota; Metazoa; Chordata; Mammalia; Carnivora; Canidae.